Apis dorsata (giant honeybee) is the source of this 1486-nucleotide long non-coding RNA. RefSeq lists it as uncharacterized. Lineage: Eukaryota; Metazoa; Arthropoda; Insecta; Hymenoptera; Apidae. The record is from RefSeq and is a predicted model, not a curated record. The transcript is spliced from 2 exons.
AGUGUUUUGAUACGUUGUCUACGAGAAACCAGGCGACGUUUUAUCUCGUAAAUAUGUGUUGCGUGCUUCUCGGUAUUAUUCGGCCAAGAUACAUGGUGUGCGCACGUAGAAUGAAGCUUCGAACUUGUACGAAUGAGGGAGCGCAAGAGGAAACGAAAGAAAGCAUAAGUGAGUGAGCGAGUGAGCUAAUAGAAAGAUAGAAAGAGAGAGUGAGAAAGGGAGGAAUGAUGUGCGUGCGUGCUUGUGUGUGCGUUCGCGAGCGUGCGUGAGUUAGAGCAGGAAUAUUAAAAGACGACGCUGGCUGUAGGUGAUUUCUCGAUCGAUGUGCGACGAUUCGUGUGAUUGGUGAACAGGAAUGAAAAAGAACGGUGUUGCCGUUUAUAAUCUAUCGAAGGGACACGUAUUUUGAACGGCAUUUGUAAAAACACGUGCAUGUCCUACUCGUGGUUCGUCGUUUCGAUCGUCUAGUGUGUUAUUGAUAAAAAGGAACAACAAGGUGAUCGAAGAGUAUAUGUAUACGUACGGUGAUACGAAACGGGGAAACAGUGGAGUAAAAGAGCGAAAGCUCGUAGUGAAAACAAAUCGAAAAGACAGGAUACGAACACGACUAGCAAGAAGAACAAACACGGUAAAAACAGUGUCAAACGGUUCCCGCGACCAGAGUUCCUUCGUUUCGUCGUGUCGAUAUUAUCGGUGAUCGUGGAUGAACGUUCGUUUUUAGCGUCCCCGAGGUCGACGUAACGGCGACCGAUCGAAGAAAAAUUUGGAAUGUAACGCCGGCAAGACAGAGGCAACGGUAGUGGCAGUAGUGGAUCCGCGGCUACGACAACGGCAACGACGGCGACAGGGCGACCGGACGGGUGGAGUGUGCAGCAAGAGGGAGAGAGCACGGAGGAUCACUCUCGCUUUCGUUCGGCUCUCCCUCUCUAUCCUUUCUUCUCUCCUCUGUCCCUCUCUCCCUCCCUCUCUUUCUGCUUCUCUCCUUUCUCCCUUGCUCGCGUGGCGGCUGCUGCUGCUACUCGUCGACUAGUAGGAGAACGGAGAGAGAGAGAGAAUACAAGAAAGAGAGCGAGAGAGCGCCGGAGGAAGAGAAGCGUCGCGCGGAAGACAGAGCUAGACGUGUGCUGGUCGAAAGACAAAGAGAGAAACAGCUCGUCCAACCGAAGAAACCGAAGAGAAGGAGAAGGAGAAGGAUCGUACAAAUCAACCGCCUUCUAACAAGCCACAUUAACCUCAAGUGAUUUCUAUUUUCUUACGAAGCGCGAAAGAAGUAAUUAGUGUGUUUAUAUCGAUGUAAAACAAAGAGAGAAAGAGAGAGAGAGAGAGAAAGAGAGAGAAAGAAAGAGAGAGAGAGAGAGAGAGAGAAAGAAACGAGAAAAAAAAGAAGAAAAAUUAUUUCAAGAGCUUAAGUUCAGAGGAAAACAAAACAUUAAGAGCUAUAGUAUCUAAUUAGUGUACAAAGUAUAUCUGAAACAAAAUAAAGAAA